GACGAACGCUGGCGGUGUGCUUAACACAUGCAAGUCGAACGGAAAGGCCCUGCUUUUGUGGGGUGCUCGAGUGGCGAACGGGUGAGUAACACGUGAGUAACCUGCCCUUGACUUUGGGAUAACUUCAGGAAACUGGGGCUAAUACCGGAUAGGAGCUCCUGCUGCAUGGUGGGGGUUGGAAAGUUUCGGCGGUUGGGGAUGGACUCGCGGCUUAUCAGCUUGUUGGUGGGGUAGUGGCUUACCAAGGCUUUGACGGGUAGCCGGCCUGAGAGGGUGACCGGCCACAUGGGACUGAGAUACGGCCCAGACUCCUACGGGAGGCAGCAGUGGGGAAUAUUGCACAAUGGGCGGAAGCCUGAUGCAGCAACGCCGCGUGCGGGAUGACGGCCUUCGGGUUGUAAACCGCUUUCGCCUGUGACGAAGCGUGAGUGACGGUAAUGGGUAAAGAAGCACCGGCUAACUACGUG
Molecule: ribosomal RNA, 467 nt
Filed under: uncultured bacterium
Lineage: Bacteria
Description: partial 16S ribosomal RNA
Rfam family: Bacterial small subunit ribosomal RNA
Source: RNAcentral